Molecule: transfer RNA, 85 nt
Filed under: Felis catus (domestic cat)
Lineage: Eukaryota; Metazoa; Chordata; Mammalia; Carnivora; Felidae
Also listed under: 1 other name
Rfam family: tRNA
About the family: Transfer RNA (tRNA) molecules are approximately 80 nucleotides in length. Their secondary structure includes four short double-helical elements and three loops (D, anti-codon, and T loops).
Source: Rfam by way of RNAcentral
GCCUGGGUGGCUCAGUCGGUUGAGCGUCUGACUUCGGCUCAGGUCAUGAUCUCGCAGUCUGUGAGUUCGAGCCCCGCGUCGGGUU